RNAcentral lists this ribosomal RNA (485 nucleotides) under uncultured bacterium. RNAcentral describes it as "partial 16S ribosomal RNA". It matches the Rfam family "Bacterial small subunit ribosomal RNA", at positions 28 to 523 of the family's 1533-position model. The record is from RNAcentral.
GACGAACGCUGGCGGCGUGCUUAACACAUGCAAGUCGAACGGUGAAAGCGGAGCUUGCUCCGCUGGAUCAGUGGCGAACGGGUGAGUAACACGUGGGCAACCUGCCCCUCACUUCGGGAUAACUCCGGGAAACCGGGGCUAAUACCGGAUAUGACCUCCUUGGGCAUCCUUGGAGGUGGAAAGGUUUUCGGUGAGGGAUGGGCCCGCGGCCUAUCAGCUUGUUGGUGAGGUAGUGGCGCACCAAGGCGACGACGGGUAGUCGGCCUGAGGGGGCGACCGGCCACACUGGGACUGAGACACGGCCCAGACUCCUACGGGAGGCAGCAGUGGGGAAUAUUGCGCAAUGGGCGCAAGCCUGACGCAGCAACGCCGCGUGCGGGAUGACGGCCUUCGGGAUGUAAACCGCUUUCAGCAGGGAAGAAGCCGCAAGGUGACGGUACCUGCAGAAGAAGCACCGGCUAACUACGUGCCAGCCGCCGCAGUAA